Molecule: ribosomal RNA, 254 nt
Filed under: uncultured bacterium
Lineage: Bacteria
Description: partial 16S ribosomal RNA
Rfam family: Bacterial small subunit ribosomal RNA
Source: RNAcentral
UACGGAGGAUGCAAGCGUUAUCCGGAAUGAUUGGGCGUAAAGCGUCCGCAGGUGGCAAUGUAAGUCUGCUGUUAAAGAGUCUAGCUCAACUAGAUAAGAGCAGUGGAAACUACAUAGCUAGAGUACGUUCGGGGCAGAGGGAAUUCCUGGUGUAGCGGUGAAAUGCGUAGAGAUCAGGAAGAACACCGGUGGCGAAGGCGCUCUGCUAGGCCGUAACUGACACUGAGGGACGAAAGCUAGGGGGAGCGAAUGGG